Molecule: ribosomal RNA, 497 nt
Filed under: uncultured bacterium
Lineage: Bacteria
Description: partial 16S ribosomal RNA
Rfam family: Bacterial small subunit ribosomal RNA
Source: RNAcentral
GAUGAACGCUGGCGGCGUGCCUAAUACAUGCAAGUCGAGCGAACGGACGAGAAGCUUGCUUCUCUGAUGUUAGCGGCGGACGGGUGAGUAACACGUGGAUAACCUACCUAUAAGACUGGGAUAACUUCGGGAAACCGGAGCUAAUACCGGAUAAUAUUUCGAACCGCAUGGUUCAAAAGUGAAAGACGGUCUUGCUGUCACUUAUAGAUGGAUCCGCGCUGCAUUAGCUAGUUGGUAAGGUAACGGCUUACCAAGGCAACGAUGCAUAGCCGACCUGAGAGGGUGAUCGGCCACACUGGAACUGAGACACGGUCCAGACUCCUACGGGAGGCAGCAGUAGGGAAUCUUCCGCAAAGGGCGAAAGCCUGACGGAGCAACGCCGCGUGAGUGAUGAAGGUCUUCGGAUCGUAAAACUCUGUUAUUAGGGAAGAACAUAUGUGUAAGUAACUGUGCACAUCUUGACGGUACCUAAUCAGAAAGCCACGGCUAACUACGUG